Molecule: ribosomal RNA, 267 nt
Filed under: uncultured bacterium
Lineage: Bacteria
Description: partial 16S ribosomal RNA
Source: RNAcentral
CUGCUGCCUCCCGUAGGAGUCUGGUCCGUGUCUCAGUACCAGUGUGGGGGACCUUCCUCUCAGAACCCCUACGCAUCGUCGCCUUGGUGGGCCGUUACCCCGCCAACAAGCUAAUGCGCCGCAUGCCCAUCCUCCGCCGGAAUCACUUCCUUUUAACACCAGUGGGAUGCCCCACUGGUGUACCACGCGGUAUUAGUCCGGAUUUCUCCGGGUUAUCACCCUGCGGAGGGCAGGUUGCAUACGUGUUACUCACCCGUGCGCCGGUCG